This 735-nucleotide long non-coding RNA is filed under the name Gossypium barbadense (sea-island cotton). Its description in RNAcentral is "long non-coding RNA (GBAR_LNC019089)". Lineage: Eukaryota; Viridiplantae; Streptophyta; Magnoliopsida; Malvales; Malvaceae. The record is from RNAcentral.
AAAUAGAGUUUAAUAGAAUAAAAUCUCUUCUUUUUGCAUUUCAACCCUUGUGUUCUCCAUACUUGCACUUUUGGCAUCAACUUUUCCUUGUGUCGCACAUUGGCCCAUUUUAUUUCUAAAUUCAGGCUUUUGGCCCUUAAUUUUACUUUUGCCUCAAAUUUAGUCCCUAUAAGAUAAAAGAUCAUAAAUAGUAUAAAUUAACAGGAUCAUACUCAGAAUAAAUACAUAAUUAAGAUAUAAAAAUACAUUAUUCUAGAGUGUUAUCAAAUCUCUUACAAGAGAUGGAACCAUUAGUAUGAUGCCUGCCGAAAUAAUAUUGUAGCAUGUAAAAGGUAAAGGCGAAGUGAAGAGAACGCUAAGAGAAUCAGCCAUCAAUCUAUGGAAAUGGGCAGUUAAAGUUACUAUCGUAUCAGAAGUAUUAGUCAAAACCCGUUCACUACUGUAAGAAAAAGAGUAAGAAAGGACAGUGAGAGAAAGUAGAAAGACAUGUUGUAAAACCAAGAUAAAAUUUUUGACAUUUUGGGGGUGUGCUUUGGGAUUUCAAUAUUAUAUUACUAGUUUGUCUUUCACAUUCCUUGCCAAAAACAGUGAAAAACUCAUGAAAGUGGAGGACUUUUCAGGUCACCUUCUUCAAUCUAAGAAACUUUGUUUUUUUGGCUUUAAUUUGCUUUGCCCCCACCUUACCACCCCUUUACCUGUUCAUGGAUCCCAAAGGCUCCAAGCAGCCACCAGCUG